RNAcentral lists this long non-coding RNA (241 nucleotides) under Mustela putorius furo (domestic ferret). Its description in RNAcentral is "lncRNA (ENSMPUG00000029910.1)". Lineage: Eukaryota; Metazoa; Chordata; Mammalia; Carnivora; Mustelidae. The record is from RNAcentral.
GGUUCACCCAACCCCCGAAACCCCCUCUCCUACAAAACCCUCAGUUUGUUUCUCAGAGACAAUGGUCUCUCAUAGUUUUUCUCCCCCUCCGAUUUCCCCCAACUCACUUAUCCUCUCCAUCUUCCAAUGUCCUCUGUGUUAUUCCUUAUGCUCCACAAGCUCAUCAUGACAAGUGUAUUCUUCAUCUCUUUAUCUAUUUGAUCCAUUCCCCACCUACUUCUCUUCUGGAAACCAGUUUGUU